RNAcentral lists this long non-coding RNA (1808 nucleotides) under Schizosaccharomyces pombe (fission yeast). The record is from RNAcentral. Lineage: Eukaryota; Fungi; Ascomycota; Schizosaccharomycetes; Schizosaccharomycetales; Schizosaccharomycetaceae.
AUUUAUGUUCGCUGUCUUCAUUAUGUGUAUAAACAAUGUCUAAAGUAUUAUUUUAUGUUAAUGAUUAAUAGUUUCAAACUAUUGAGAAAUAAUUCAAAAAAAUAAAAAGAAAAAAAGAACAAGAACAAAUUGAGAUAGCAAAACCAUAGUAUCUUGCUCAUUUAAAGUUUAGCCCUAGAGAAUAUCAAUGCCCUCUGGGCCUUGAGACAAGUGUGCAAACAAUUUAAAAAUUGAACCAAAGUUUUGCUUACUAAUUAUUGCAAAAGGCGGUCAUGUCCGAAUAUUAUAUGGGUAAAACAAAAGAAAGAAGUUAAAGUAUUAAGAAUGUCACAACAGUGUCAGUUAUGUCAAAAACACCGAUCAAUUUAACGCAAGGGGUAAGUGAACGAAAAACAACAAAAACAAUAUUGGAGACAAGAUGGAAAAGUAUGCCACGGACAAUUCAAAUAAUUACAGCACGCCGCAUGAAAAUGCCUCAUAAUCUGUUUCAAAGCGUUUGACUCCGGUAUAAUGAAAAGCUACACCAACAAUGAUAGCUAUAUGCCAUAUUUGGUGACUAUUGCCAAUGAUAUCGAAUUUUCCAGGAAGAAAUCUUUCUGGUAUGUGCAACCCGUAAAAAAGCACUCCAAUGAUGUAACUGAAAAUGGAUUUGAAAACUGGAUCCAAAUACUUAACCGUGCGCCGAGUGCCCUUAAUGUAAAACAUUGUUAUCAUGGGUAUUAAACCACUACAGGCUAGCCCCACAAAGAAGAAGAUCUUAACAGAACGAUAUUUGUACUCAUUAAACCACUUUUUCCAAGGGGUAUAAAUACCAAUGAGGCCCAGGGUACCGGUGAAAGCGAUAAAUAUAAAUCUUAACGGACCUUGGCAUACGAAUGCAUGGUAUUCGACAGAUAUAAUAGAAGCAGCUAUCAGUGCCGAAAUGCCAACAUAAUCCAUGCAAGCAGCACAACGCAUGUGCUUGUAGUUAGAAAGACUUGAAAAUGUAUGCCAAAUAACCGAACAUCCCAAACACUUCAUUGCAGAAAGUAAGAAGAAAAUACGGACUAUACGAUUGGAGACGUUAGAAGAAACCCAGGAUGAGGAAGAAGGAUAAAAGUAGGCUAAGACGGCGAAAAACACAAUAAAAGCAGAAAGAUGUGUCCAUAUAUUGAAAGUUUCAUUGUGCCAAGAAAGGAUGGAUCGAAAGCAUUUUCGUUUACUCGUGUAAAAACGAUAUCCUCUAAUGAUAUAGGGAUUGUUAUGCCACUGAACUGGCAAUUCUUCUAGUGUGAUUAAUCGUUGUGCGCCCAAUUUGGCGGCGUGCUCAACAACGUCUUUGAUGUCGGUCAUCAAAGUCUCCACAUUGUUUUUGGAUUUCUCAGCAUAAUCCUCUAAAUCACGUAGAUGAUGCUCUAAGAACGUCAAGGCCUUUUGCGCUUUGGCGGGAAACGUAUCACAGGCACUUAAAACAUCAUUGUAUGUUUCUUCGAUUCGACGAAGGAUAAACGAAACCUGGGUCUUUCCUAGGAUGGUAGUUCCAAGAAAGGAAGCUUGAAGAUUUGCCAAGAACUGGUAAGUUGCAGCAGCCGCAUCUUUCCGGUUUGGCAAACCCAACUCUUCAAGCCUUUUCAUCCGAUGAUUAAGGCGUGUCAAAAAAAGGUCAAGCUUUAAAACAAUAAAUUCUUCUAAAACAUCAUCUUCCUCAUCUCUCACUUGGUAGGAUGAAUGUCUGCGACUAAGCAAUCGCUUUUUAAACCCUUCGGUUUCCGUCGAAGAGAACGUUUUGACGGUCGACAUUGAGCAAUAUUUCUAAUUGUUCUUAAUAA